RNAcentral lists this unclassified non-coding RNA (179 nucleotides) under air metagenome. RNAcentral describes it as "partial contains small subunit ribosomal RNA, internal transcribed spacer 1, and 5.8S ribosomal RNA". The stretch from base 1 to 46 matches the Rfam family "Eukaryotic small subunit ribosomal RNA", at positions 1786 to 1831 of the family's 1831-position model. The record is from RNAcentral.
AAGUCGUAACAAGGUUUCCGUAGGUGAACCUGCGGAAGGAUCAUUAGUGAUUUGGCUCCGGCCUUAUUCUUGUCCAACCUCUGUGAACCGUGGCCUCCGGGCCGUAUUUUAAACAUCAGUGUAAAGAAUGUAAACAUAUUAAACAAACAAAACUUUUAACAACGGAUCUCUUGGCUCUC